GGGGCGCGGCGGGCGGGCGCUGCCUCAGGACGCGGUGCUCGGGCGGGACCCCCCCCGCCUCGGGGGGCGCGGAACCCGGCCGGGGCUCCUCGGGGGGUACCGCCGGCAUCGCAGCUGGGGGCGCACCCCGGUACUGCGUGACCGCUCGGGGGUUACCUCAGCAUUGAGCCGGGGGCCCUGAGAGGCCGCUUGGGGUCACCCCCCGGAAACUUUCUGACUCCGCAGCGUGCCGUGACGCAGUGACACCUCUGCCCCCCCAAAAAAACAAAACAAAACAAAAGGGGAGAGGGCCGCUGAGCGGGGUGGCGCGGGCAAACGAGGCCUGAGCUGUGCUCCCCGCCUCGGGCCGUGCGGAGCUCCUCGCCCUGGCGCUGAGCGCUGCGCUGUGCGGUCGCCCGGCGCCUCGCACCGCUGCCCGGUCCGACCGAGCCCCGCUCCGCACCGCCUCGGCUGCAGUUUCCACGGGAACGGCUGUUGGAGCGGCGCAAAAAGCAGGGCUUCAAAGAGCUCUUCCCCUCCACACGCAUCCCGGCCUCACCUCUCCCUCCGCUGCGCCUUGCCGAGGGGACCCGCAGAAACGCGGCAGGGACGGAGGGUUGCCGAGUAAUCAAACGCUCACGGCUCAAACGCGGGCGCUCAGCCUGGCGCUGCAAGGCGGGAGCGGAGCGGGGCCGUGUGUGGGAGCUGUGGGCUGCGGGAGGAACGGCAGCGCCAGGCAGGGCUGCUGUGCCCGUGGGAACCCUCGUGGCCAUCCGGACCCGUCUGAGCAGGGCCCGACUCGCCUUGCGGCGAGCAGAAAGAGCUGAUCGCGAUGGAGGGGGUCGGGAAGCGUCGGGCUGGGAGUCGUCAGAUCCCGUGUGGAAGGAGCGAGCGGGGCCCGGCUUUGUGCUCCACGCGCUCCCACAGCGAGGCCGGACUGAACUCCCGGUCACGGCGAGGCACAGCUCGUGUCUGUGAGCCUCUGCUGCUCCUCCGCUGUUCUUAGGGGCCGGGCGAUGACCGGGAGCCUCCCCUGGGAUUGAGGCCGUGGAGGGUAAACCACCUACACGAGGGUAAAGAGGAGCUAAAUAUCCCUGUUAAAAAUAAUACCCUCGCAUUCAGCACAUUCUGCGCGGAGGAGGAAAGUGCCGCUGUCCCCAGGGCGAUCUGCGUGUGCUCUUGGCCAGGAACAAAUGAAAGAAAGGCCUUCUCUGUGCCCACACCAUCGUCCCUUUCCUGCCCCGCACUGUGGAAUGGCCACGGCCGCUUCUCUGCUCCUCACGUUUUGCAGCACGUCGAGCUCCACGUUCGCUCCUCAUCAGCAGUUUAUUUCCCUUUAAUUCAUUGAUUGUCUGAGAUACCGAGCAGACAAAAACCAGUUCCCUUCUUUCCCCUGCCCCUCAGGUCGUUGGGGACUAGAAAUUCAAUAGGGGCUGGAAUCUCCACCUCCUUUGAUGCCUCCAAAGGUCCGUCUGCAGGCGCCCAGCCUGGACGGGAGGUCAGGGAGGCUGUCCCCAGCACGGGGACAGCAGAGGAUGGAUGGGGACAGGCAUCUUCCUGCUGCUGCCCCUGCCUCAGCUUCUCCCCCGUCCCCCAGACCGGCUCCGUUUCUCGGCUGUUGCUAGGGGAGAUGGAGAAGAGCACUUGAUUGAAAGCUUCCUGCAAGUGGCACCGAGUCUAAAUAUUGCCAUUCCUACGCAAGCGAACCCAGCAGCGUGACUCCAGGACAGCGAGGUGGAACUCCUGUCCCGUGUGAACUCCAGUGCUCCCUGCAGCCCCGGCCCCGUGUCUUCCACCACCCGACGGCGAGAUGAUCUGAGCAAAUUAUAAGACGGUGCUUUGGACCAACUUAGCUCAAGAUCAGAAGGGAGACUAAUUUCACAUCUUCGCCGCCGCAGAAGGCAAUUAAAUGGCUCUGCGAAGUUUGAGCACAGGUUAGGACAAGAAAUUUUACAAUCAGAAAUCCCAACACCUGCGGCCAGCAGCGCUGCCUGCUCGAGUCAUGGGAGGACGUUCCGAGCCUCCUGAGUGCUCCCAGGGCUUGGAGAGCCAACGUCCUCUGCUCGGGUUCCUCUCUGCUGGGUUUUCCUUGGAUUUGUGGCAAUGCAGGCACCAGAAUUCAUUAAAAACUCAAACCAAUAACCACCUGCCCGAACCUCUCCCGUCUGACGGCUCACAGAGCUGGGUGCCUCCCUCUCUGCAUCCCGCAGUACCCGCCAGGCAGGCACCGAAACGGCCCCGCUCUGCUCAGCUCCAAGGCAGGAGAAAACGCUGCUGGGCGCCCAUGGGGCCGAAGGCAGCAGCCCCUGGCACAGCGAGGGCGAGUGGGACCGAUCGCACGGAGCCAUUAGCAUGCAAUGCGGAGGAACACGUAUUUUUGGGAGCCCUGCCUGGCUUGCGGCCUUGUGGUGGGGGGAGGCGGUGGGAUGCAGGGAGAGGUGCCUCGUCCCCCCCGGGAGUGCUGCUGGAGGUGCAGCUCCUUCCUUAAGGCCCUGAAUCAUCCCCGCUGCCAUCUGCUGCACCCUCGCUCUUCCCUGCAGAUGUCCUUCUUCCUUCCCCAGAAGGAGAUGAGAACUGAGGAUGAGGUGCCAAAUGCGACUUCAAACAGCAUCUAAUAAAACACGGGAUUAAUUUCUUCUGACUGCUGUUCGAUGGCUCUGAUUAAGCAGAGCAGAAUUUAAUUAGCUUGUUUGGACUGCCUCUAAACCCAUGCCAAAGGUGGGGGAGCCUCAGUGUCCGGGUCCCCCAAUGUCCAUGAGCUGCUGGGGUAGCCUGUGCUGCCCGACUGAGCAGAGCCUGCUGCACACCCAACCAGGCUGGCAGCAGUUUUGAGAUCCCCAGAACCUCCUUCAUCUCUGCAAGCCCCCCUGCAGCCAGGAUGGGGGCCGUGUGCUGGAUGUGCUGCCGGUGGCAAUAGGGAUGGAAACAUGGAGCCUCUCAGCGUAAACCGAACUCAUCCUGCUGCUGAGUCCUUGAGUUCAAGUAACCCUGUUCUCUCCCUGAUUUACUACGAGUUGCUGGCUCCUCUUCUCUCCCUCCUCCUGUCUCCUUUAACCCAUUUCAUUAUCUAUGCUAGCUUAGGCUUGCCUACGUGGGAACAUCACGGUGAGGUUAUUGCAAAAUAGAUGGGCUGUGAAUGCGAAAUGCGGCAGCCCUCCCCCAGCAGCACUGACUCCCUCCCCGCCAUACCUGUGCUCAGCACACUGCAGGACCCAGGCUCCCCAGCUCCCCCGCUGCUCCUGGGGUCUGAGGCUGCAGCUUCCCCUCCGUGCAGACAAGACAAGCACGCACGGAAGGCGUGCGUUUCCCUUCCAGCGACGUGUUGCAAUUAAGCAUCCCCUCCCUAUGCAACCCAGCGCUCAGGCAGGUAACUCCAGGCCAGAGCCACAGCCCAAACUGCUCUUUUUUAGCUGUUUAUGGUGUCUUUGGUUUUCUGUAUAUAAAAAAAAAGCAAAGAGCGCAGGGAAGAUCUGCUGGCUGAGGUGAGGAAGGGACCCAGCAGCUCCUUUUCUCCCUGCAGAUGAGGUUUUACAGGCUCUGUAGAGUCACCCCAGCACUGCUCCUCACCCUGGGGCCAUAUCACUCCCUGCUCCCUUAUCAGCCACCUGUGGGUGUCCCCGCCCCAUACAGGGCUCUGGGUGGGCUUGGGGCACACGGCAAAGCACAGGAGGAAUGGGGUGGGUGCCCCCGAGGAGCCCAUCCCUCCGAUUUCUGAGCAAAACAAGAACCAAAGCAGGGGAGUCCAUAAAGGGAAUAAGAAAAGACAACUACUUUUAUACGUGCACUUAAGUAUUUAGGUCAGUAUUUUUAGAAUAAAUAGCCGUGGGUUGGUUCCUAUCUUUUUCACUUUCAUUUUUUCACACUUCAGCUUCAUUUUCCUGACGCCGGGUAACUGCAGAAGCAGUUGGGUUUCUGCAAGCCCUCGCACCUCCCGGCACGCCGACCUCACCGCCUCUGGCUUCCCUCGGCCCCUCUGUCCCAUUCUUUUCCCUGGACACGGUCCGAACCUCCCACUUUUCAUGGCUGAAGGGCGACAAAGGGAAGGCUCACACCGCAGCGGGGCCAUCCCACAGCGAUGCCGCCCGGUUCCAUCCUUCUAUUCAAAGCAAAACCAUCCAGAAGGGUCCUUCGGAGCAAAGCCGUCUUCCGAGGGAAACAUUGGCAGCCUCGUUUGGCAGCGACAGCGCCUGGAUUUGCUGAAGGCCUCCAAAAUUAGAUGAGGCUUGGAAACUUGUGAUGGAUGUCACUGCGGCAGCGUGGAGGGAGGGCUCCGGCGCGGUGCUUCCCCCAGCCCGGGUGCUGCUCGGUGCCUGCUUGUCCCCAGGGCUCCCUGCAGCACAGCGGAGGCACACGCGUCGAGAAGCAGCAAUCCCGGGGUGCUAAAUGUGCUCCGCAGGGGCCGCUGCCAUGUGCCAAAGCGAUGGAGCUCCUCGUAAACGCGCCGAGCGUAGGAAACGAGCCCUCAGCGUGCCAGCAGGGAGCUGGGCUGGGGCCGCUGUGUCCCUAUGAGCUGGGGAUACGGGGGGCUCUGGGGGCACGGCGGACAAGGGGAGCAGCGGGGGCACACGCCGGGGCUGCGAGCGCGGCGUAUCCCAAAGCAAAGCUCCCCUCCUCCCCGGCUCGACGGCCGCGUCACCUCCAA
Long non-coding RNA from Gallus gallus (chicken), 4621 nucleotides. RefSeq lists it as uncharacterized. Lineage: Eukaryota; Metazoa; Chordata; Aves; Galliformes; Phasianidae. The record is from RefSeq and is a predicted model, not a curated record. The transcript is spliced from 2 exons.